GUUUCUGUAGUGUAGUGGUCAUCACGUUUGCCUAGCAUGUGAAAGGUCCUUGGUUUGAAACUGAGCAGAAACA
Molecule: non-coding RNA, 73 nt
Organism: Danio rerio (zebrafish)
Lineage: Eukaryota; Metazoa; Chordata; Actinopteri; Cypriniformes; Danionidae
Source: Rfam